AGAGUUUUAUCCUGGCUCAGGAUGAACGCUGGCGGCGUGCUUAACACAUGCAAGUCGAACGAAGCACUUUAUUUGAUUUCCUUCGGGACUGAUUAUUUUGUGACUGAGUGGCGGACGGGUGAGUAACGCGUGGGUAACCUGCCUUGUACAGGGGGAUAACAGUUGGAAACGGCUGCUAAUACCGCAUAAGCGCACAGCAUCGCAUGAUGCAGUGUGAAAAACUCCGGUGGUAUAAGAUGGACCCGCGUUGGAUUAGCUAGUUGGUGAGGUAACGGCCCACCAAGGCGACGAUCCAUAGCCGACCUGAGAGGGUGACCGGCCACAUUGGGACUGAGACACGGCCCAAACUCCUACGGGAGGCAGCAGUGGGGAAUAUUGCACAAUGGGCGAAAGCCUGAUGCAGCGACGCCGCGUGAGCGAAGAAGUAUUUCGGUAUGUAAAGCUCUAUCAGCAGGGAAGAUAAUGACGGUACCUGACUAAGAAGCACCGGCUAAAUACGUGCCAGCAGCCGCGGUAAUACGUAUGGUGCAAGCGUUAUCCGGAUUUACUGGGUGUAAAGGGAGCGCAGGCGGUGCGGCAAGUCUGAUGUGAAAGCCCGGGGCUCAACCCCGGUACUGCAUUGGAAACUGUCGUACUAGAGUGUCGGAGGGGUAAGCGGAAUUCCUAGUGUAGCGGUGAAAUGCGUAGAUAUUAGGAGGAACACCACCGGCGAAGGCGGCUUCCUGGUCGAUGACAGACGCUGAGGCUCGAAAGCGUGGGGAGCACACAAGAUUAGAUACCCCUGGUAGUCCACGCCGUAAACGAGAAUUACUAGGUGUUGGAAAGCAUUACUUGUCGGUGCCGUCGCAAACGCAGUAAGUAUUCCACCUGGGGGAGUACGUUGGCAAGAAAUGAAACUCAAAGGAAUUGACGGGGACCCGCACAAGCGGUGGAGCAUGUGGUUUUAAUUCGAAGCAACGCGAAGGAACCUUACCAAAUCUUGACAUCCCUCUGACCGGUCUUUAAUCGGACCUUCUCUUCGGAGCAGAGGUGACAGGUGGUGCAUGGUUGUCGUCAGCUCGUGUCGUGAGAUGUUGGGUUAAGUCCCGCAACGAGCGCAACCCCUAUCCUCAGUAGCCAGCAUUUAAGGUGGGCACUCUGGGGAGACUGCCAGGGAUAACCUGGAGGAAGGCGGGGAUGACGUCAAAUCAUCAUGCCCCUUAUGAUUUGGGCUACACACGUGCUACAAUGGCGUAAACAAAGGGAAGCGAGAUCGUGAGAUGGAGCAAAUCCCAAAAAUAACGUCCCAGUUCGGACUGUAGUCUGCAACCCGACUACACGAAGCUGGAAUCGCUAGUAAUCGCGGAUCAGAAUGCCGCGGUGAAUACGUUCCCGGGUCUUGUACACACCGCCCGUCA
Molecule: ribosomal RNA, 1397 nt
Filed under: uncultured bacterium
Lineage: Bacteria
Description: bacterial SSU rRNA
Rfam family: Bacterial small subunit ribosomal RNA
Source: RNAcentral